AUCAGUUUGUACAGAGAGUCAUCGGCGGCUAAAGGCUGAACUAGAGCAGAGCCCGGCUCUCGGCAGCCGGCAGGCAUGAGCCCUCCCGACAGAAACCGAGCCCAAACCUGCUGAUGCGCGGUGCUGCCGUUCCUGGGGCUUCAAUGGUGCAGAAGCAUUUGGAUGCAAGUAGAUGUGUUUCCUGUUCAAACAGAAGCGAAUCACUGAGAUGCCUGAACAUAAGAGAUAACCAAGGCUUUGCACAUAUUACUUACUUGUUCACAGAGAAGCUCAUCAAAGCACAGAAAUGACCAAGGCCAAAACAAAAAGGUAAAGCACCAAACAACCUGCAUGGAAUAUACAGAAUCUACACACUCUGGAGAGCGUGAUAUAUGGCAUGCAAAAAAAAUUUUAAAAAACAAUGUAUUUUCCUAGAAAUCCUUACAUAUCCAUCAAGCUGCAAGUUAUUUCAGAGAAUACUGAUGCUACUCGUAAAAAGCCAUUACCAAAGUCAGCCAAAAUUCCAAGAAAAAAAAACCAGAAGGGCAGGCAGACAACUAAUCCAUUUUGGAGCUGUCAGGUUGUGACCUGCGGUAUGUUUUCACAGGAAAGGCAAAAAUGAGGUUCUUUCCCAAAUGAAGAACAACAUGGUGAUUUAAAUAAGGAAGGAUAAAUGACAAACAUACAGUUCUGCCUGCACAGAAAACAUUCCCAAGAAGAGGACUGAUCCGACAUGUCAGUGUUGAAUCAGAGCUCCCACUCCUGAGCUCCCUUUCCCGGCUGCAGCUUGUGUAAAAGACUAUAAGGAAGGAAAACCCAUGGAAUAAUGAAGAU
Manacus vitellinus (golden-collared manakin) is the source of this 813-nucleotide long non-coding RNA. RefSeq lists it as uncharacterized. The transcript has 3 exons. The record is from RefSeq and is a predicted model, not a curated record. Lineage: Eukaryota; Metazoa; Chordata; Aves; Passeriformes; Pipridae.